RNAcentral lists this ribosomal RNA (540 nucleotides) under Corynebacterium minutissimum. RNAcentral describes it as "bacterial SSU rRNA". It matches the Rfam family "Bacterial small subunit ribosomal RNA", at positions 161 to 726 of the family's 1533-position model. The record is from RNAcentral. Lineage: Bacteria; Bacillati; Actinomycetota; Actinomycetes; Mycobacteriales; Corynebacteriaceae.
GUCUAAUACCGGAUAGGAACCGUCUUUAGUGUGGUGGUUGGAAAGUUUUUUCGGUGCAAGAUGAGCUCGCGGCCUAUCGUUGGUGGGGUAAUGGCCUACCAAGGCGUCGACGGGUAGCCGGCCUGAGAGGGUGUACGGCCACAUUGGGACUGAGAUACGGCCCAGACUCCUACGGGAGGCAGCAGUGGGGAAUAUUGCACAAUGGGCGGAAGCCUGAUGCAGCGACGCCGCGUGGGGGAUGACGGCCUUCGGGUUGUAAACUCCUUUCGACAGGGACGAAGCGUUAUGUGACGGGACCUGUAUAAAAAGCACCGGCUAACUACGUGCCAGCACCCGCGGUAAUACUCAGGGGGCAAGCGUUGUCCGGAAUUACUGGGCGUAAAGAGCUCGUAGGUGGUUUGUCGCGUCGUCGGGGAACUUCCGGGGGUUAACUCCGGGCGGGCAGCCGAAACUGGCAAGAGUGAUGUAAGGGAGACUGGAUUUCCUGAUCUAGCGGUGAUAUGCAACUCUAUUUCGAGGGCCACCGUUGUAUUAUAAGGC